CACGGGUUUGAUCCCUGGCCGGGCAAUAGGUUAAAGGGUCCCAGCUGUAGUUCAGAUUCAAUCCCUGGCUCGAGAACGUUCACAAGCAGCAGGUGGGGCCGUUAAAAAAAAAUUAGCUUUUUUAGACCCUAAACUCAGAAGUAAUGAUCCCAUCGUCACUAUUUUUCUAUUCCCUGGAACAGAAGUACGUCCCUCCCGCACUCAGGGCUGGGGCCAUGGCCCCCAGAGUGAGGAUUCUUUGGGGCUUGGAGGCUGCCCACCGGCCGCUCCCGUGAGGACCUUUGGAGAGUGGGAUGAGGGGUUUCCAGACGCGGAUCCAGAACUUCACCCUGACGCUUCACUGCCACCCUGUGAGCUGACCCUACUAAUGAGCAUGCAGUGGGCGGCACCCUGACUGCAGCCCGGAGGGACCCUGAGCAGAGGACCAGCUCAGCCAGCCCUCCAACCUGCGGGAACUGCGAAAGAAUAAAUGUGUGGUGUGUUGCUGUAA
This is a long non-coding RNA of Phacochoerus africanus (Common warthog), 490 nucleotides long. RefSeq lists it as uncharacterized. NCBI's taxonomy places the organism in Eukaryota, Metazoa, Chordata, Mammalia, Artiodactyla, Suidae. The transcript is spliced from 2 exons. The record is from RefSeq and is a predicted model, not a curated record.